UCAUAGCAUCACUAAUAGGCUGCUGUGCAAAUCUUGUUCACUAAUGCUCAGAGGAGGAAAGCCAGUGCGGGAAAACUAUGGCAAGUGGGAUAACAAAGCUGAAUACACGGACCUGCACACCUUCAUUCAACCAGUGUUAGAGGUAAAACCCAUAGGAAGCUGUGAGAAUGACAGGCAAAUGAUUUGCUGCUGUAUCACACAGCCAUCUCAAAACCUAAGAUCAUAAAACCCAGUUUACUGAACAGAGAACUUGAGGGACUCUGAGACAUAGGAAGGUCCAUACACUGUUUGACAGGGAGCAUGGACAAAAUGAAUGAUUCCUAAGGAGGUGCAUUGUGGGUGAGUGCCACUUCCCUACAAGGAACUAAUGACUUUGGUUACUUGGGAGACUAUUAUGGAAGAUUUUCCUGCAAAUGACUAUUUAAAUGAGUUUUCUGUACAGGAAAAAUAUGUCACUUGUAAGUAAUGUAUUCUGAUUAUUUUCUAAUGUUAAUAGUCAUUAAUAAAAAUCAU
Apodemus sylvaticus (European woodmouse) is the source of this 513-nucleotide long non-coding RNA. RefSeq lists it as uncharacterized. The record is from RefSeq and is a predicted model, not a curated record. The transcript has 3 exons. NCBI's taxonomy places the organism in Eukaryota, Metazoa, Chordata, Mammalia, Rodentia, Muridae.